UGGCCAAAAAGUUCAUUCAGGUUUUUCCAUACAAUGUUACGAAAGACCCAACAAGCUUUUUGGCCAA
This 67-nucleotide microRNA precursor is filed under the name Tursiops truncatus (common bottlenose dolphin). RNAcentral describes it as "miRNA (ENSTTRG00000025109.1)". The record is from RNAcentral. Lineage: Eukaryota; Metazoa; Chordata; Mammalia; Artiodactyla; Delphinidae.